RNAcentral lists this ribosomal RNA (465 nucleotides) under uncultured bacterium. RNAcentral describes it as "partial 16S ribosomal RNA". It matches the Rfam family "Bacterial small subunit ribosomal RNA", at positions 28 to 504 of the family's 1533-position model. The record is from RNAcentral.
GACGAACGCUGGCGGCGUGCUUAACACAUGCAAGUCGAACGGAAAGGCCCUGCUUUUGUGGGGUGCUCGAGUGGCGAACGGGUGAGUAACACGUGAGUAACCUGCCCUUGACUUUGGGAUAACUUCAGGAAACUGGGGCUAAUACCGGAUAGGAGCUCCUGCUGCAUGGUGGGGGUUGGAAAGUUUCGGCGGUUGGGGAUGGACUCGCGGCUUAUCAGCUUGUUGGUGGGGUAGUGGCUUACCAAGGCUUUGACGGGUAGCCGGCCUGAGAGGGUGACCGGCCACAUUGGGACUGAGAUACGGCCCAGACUCCUACGGGAGGCAGCAGUGGGGAAUAUUGCACAAUGGGCGGAAGCCUGAGGCAGCAACGCCGCGUGCGGGAUGACGGCCUUCGGGUUGUAAACCGCUUUCGCCUGUGACGAAGCGUGAGUGACGGUAAUGGGUAAAGAAGCACCGGCUAACUAC